CCUACGGGAGGCAGCAGUGGGGAAUAUUGGGCAAUGGGCGCAAGCCUGACCCAGCAAUGCCGCGUGAAGGAAGAAGGCUUUCGGGUUGUAAACUUCUUUUAAGAGGGAAGAGCAGAAGACGGUACCUCUUGAAUAAGCCACGGCUAACUACGUGCCAGCAGCCGCGGUAAUACGUAGGUGGCAAGCGUUGUCCGGAUUUACUGGGUGUAAAGGGCGUGCAGCCGGGAAGACAAGUCAGAUGUGAAAUCCCGGGGCUCAACCGCGGAACUGCAUUUGAAACUGUUUUUCUUGAGUACCGGAGAGGUCAUCGGAAUUCCUUGUGUAGAGGUGAAAUGCGUAGAUAUAAGGAAGAACACCAGUGGCGAAGGCGGAUGACUGGACGGCAACUGACGGUGAGGCGCGAAAGCGUGGGGAGCAAACAGGAUUAGAUACCUCAGUAGUC
This 442-nucleotide ribosomal RNA is filed under the name uncultured bacterium. Its description in RNAcentral is "partial 16S ribosomal RNA". It matches the Rfam family "Bacterial small subunit ribosomal RNA", at positions 338 to 795 of the family's 1533-position model. The record is from RNAcentral.